UNAAACUGCUUGGGAAACUGAUAAUNUAGAGUAAGGGAGAGGCAGAUGGAAUUCUUGGUGUAGGGNUAAAAUCCGUAGAUAUCAAGAAGAAUACCUAUUGCGAAGGCGAUCUGCUGGAACUUAACUGACGCUAAUGCGUGAAAGCGUGGNGAGCAAACAGGAUUAGAUACCCUGGUAGUNCACGCCCUAAACGAUGUAUACCGGUUGUUGCUGUGCUAGUCACGGCAGUAAUCCACCUAACGGAUUAAGUAUACCGCCUGGGGAGUACGGUCGCAAGAUUAAAACUCAAAGGAAUAGACGGGGACCCGCACAAGCGGUGGAGCAUGUGGUUUAAUUCGAAGAUACGCGAAGAACCUUACCCGGACUUGAUAUCUAACAAAUCAUCCAGAGAUGGAAGAGUGUCUGCUUGCAGAAAUGUUAAGACAGGUGCUGCACGGCUGUCGUCAGCUCGUGUCGUGAGAUGUUGGGUUAAGUCCCGCAACGAGCGCAACCCACGUCAUUAGUUGCUAACGGUUCGGCCGAGCACUCUAAUGAGACUGCCUUCGUAAGGAGGAGGAAGGUGUGGACGACGUCAAGUCAUCAUGGCCCUUAUGUCCGGGGCGACACACGUGCUACAAUGGCAUAUACAAUAAGACGCAAUAUCGCGAGAUGGAGCAAAUCUAAAAAAUAUGUCCCAGUUCGGAUUGGAGUCUGCAACUCGACUCCAUGAAGCCGGAAUCGCUAGUAAUCGUAGAUCAGCCAUGCUACGGUGAAUACGUUCCCGGGUCUUGUACUCACCGCCCGUCACACCAUGGGAGUUGAUUUCACUCGAAGCGGGAAUGCGAAAUUCGCUAC
Molecule: ribosomal RNA, 834 nt
Filed under: uncultured bacterium
Lineage: Bacteria
Description: bacterial SSU rRNA
Rfam family: Bacterial small subunit ribosomal RNA
Source: RNAcentral